RNAcentral lists this ribosomal RNA (422 nucleotides) under uncultured eukaryote. Its description in RNAcentral is "bacterial SSU rRNA". It matches the Rfam family "Eukaryotic small subunit ribosomal RNA", at positions 592 to 1018 of the family's 1831-position model. The record is from RNAcentral.
CAAUAGCGUAUACUAACGUUGUUGCAGUUAAAAGCUCGUAGUUGGAUUUCUGUAUUGGUUAGCCGGCCGGCGCUUACGCGUUGCAGCUAGGUUUAAUCGAUGCAUCUUGUCACAAUAGACACUGGCUUUAACUAGUUGGUGCUCUGGACUGACUCGUUUACUUUGAGAAAAUUAGAGUGUUCAAAGCAGGCUAUCGCCUUGAAUAUGUUAGCAUGGAAUAAUGAUAUAGGACUUUGGUUCUAUUUUGUUGGUUUCUAGGACCGAAGUAAUGAUUAAUAGGGACAGUUGGGGGCAUUCAUAUUCCAAUGUCAGAGGUGAAAUUCUUGGAUUAUCGGAAGAUGAACUUCUGCGAAAGCAUCUGCCAAGGAUGUUUUCAUUGAUCAAGAACGAAAGUUAGGGGAUCGAAGACGAUUAGAUACCAU